UGGGUGGUGCUCGCGUCCUCCACGGUGCCCUUCUUCACCAUAUCAGAGCGCUUUUGCAAACGCUGCAAGCAAUCAUAAACAGAUAAAGAGAGAAGAAAGACAGGAAUUACAAAUACGAGCACAACAACAAUCAAAGGUUUAUUUGAAUUCAAUACAAAUUAUUCAAGGCAAUGAAAAACUAAUUUAAAAUUGAUUUAUGUACAAAUUUGAGCGCAGUUAUUUAAUGCACCUACAGGCGAAGCAAGUCAAAGCGAGUAAAGUGUAAAAUGG
Anastrepha ludens (Mexican fruit fly) is the source of this 270-nucleotide long non-coding RNA. RefSeq lists it as uncharacterized. The transcript has 3 exons. Lineage: Eukaryota; Metazoa; Arthropoda; Insecta; Diptera; Tephritidae. The record is from RefSeq and is a predicted model, not a curated record.